RNAcentral lists this long non-coding RNA (990 nucleotides) under Pocillopora damicornis (cauliflower coral). RNAcentral's name for it is "uncharacterized LOC113683588, transcript variant X1". Lineage: Eukaryota; Metazoa; Cnidaria; Anthozoa; Scleractinia; Pocilloporidae. The record is from RNAcentral.
GGACUUUUUUUGACAAAUGAUGCUCAACCUGAGAUUGUAAUUAAAUCUAAAUGACUCCGCGCUUAGUUAAGGAAGGUAACGCUGGCUUGUAUACGCGUAGAAGAUAUCGAUAGUUUGUUCGGUAACUUUCAAGUUCUUGAAGACUACGCUGUUCAGAAGCUGUUCAAAAGCUUGACCUCUUUUUGGCCAAGUUAAUUAACCACAGUGCUCAGCGUUUUGUGUUUUUCCUGAGUUGCCGCACAGAUUUUGUACGAAUAUCCAACUAUGGUUUGUGCAUGGAAGUGGUUCCUGGUGAUGUUUUUGAUUCUUUCACUGCAAAUCUCGUUGAGUUUUAGUUGGCGGAGGAGAAGAACGAGUCUCCCGGCGUGUCGCUGCCACAAGAAGUAUCAGCCCAGAUGUAAAUUGAUAUUUAAAAGUAGCAGUGGUAAGAAAUACUCAGUGGACGACAAAAGGUGUUCAAGUCUAUGUCGACACUGCCCUUAUAGUAUCAGAUGCAAACACGACAAUACACGCGGAGCCUGGGAAACAUGGACAUGUCAGAAAUAGCGCUUUAGUAUUAGACUUGUACCCUCAGGGGGUGGGAAAGGAGUUUUUUUCUACUUCAGACUGCUUUAUGGUUAGAUUUAUUAACUUUAAACUUCUAUCGGGUGGUAGUGUAAAUCUACUAAUCGUUCAAAACUUAUCAACAAGACACAGGCUCAAGUUAUGUUUUUGCAGAAUAAUGUCUACUUAUUUAACUCAUUAUCUAUCACUGAGUAAAUAGCGAGUAGCGCAGCCAAUCAGAUAGCAACAAUUUUUGAUAGUAGAAAUAGAUUUAUGUUAUACGGGAAUAUACUCCUCACAAAAGUGAAGACUCCUUUUCCUAACGAUUUUGACAAAGAAAAGGGCAAGAAAAACUAUCAUUAACUAUUUGUAAUGUGGUAUCUGUAGCCUGUUUCAUCUAAUCGUACUCAAACUGAAGAUAAAAUAAAGCCUGGCUAAAAACCUUGA